This 486-nucleotide ribosomal RNA is filed under the name uncultured bacterium. Its description in RNAcentral is "partial 16S ribosomal RNA". It matches the Rfam family "Bacterial small subunit ribosomal RNA", at positions 30 to 507 of the family's 1533-position model. The record is from RNAcentral.
AUUGAACGCUGGCGGCAUGCCUUACACAUGCAAGUCGAACGGCAGCACGGGUGCUUGCACCUGGUGGCGAGUGGCGAACGGGUGAGUAAUACAUCGGAACAUGUCCUGUAGUGGGGGAUAGCCCGGCGAAAGCCGGAUUAAUACCGCAUACGAUCUACGGAUGAAAGCGGGGGACCUUCGGGCCUCGCGCUAUAGGGUUGGCCGAUAGCUGAUUAGCUAGUUGGUGGGGUAAAGGCCUACCAAGGCGACGAUCAGUAGCUGGUCUGAGAGGACGACCAGCCACACUGGGACUGAGACACGGCCCAGACUCCUACGGGAGGCAGCAGUGGGGAAUUUUGGACAAUGGGCGAAAGCCUGAUCCAGCAAUGCCGCGUGUGUGAAGAAGGCCUUCGGGUUGUAAAGCACUUUUGUCCGGAAAGAAAUCCUUGGCUAUAAUACAGUCGGGGGAUGACGGUACCGGAAGAAUAAGCACCGGCUAACUACGUG